GCAGGAUCUCCGUGAAGAAGUGAUCCCACAGCUCAGACAGGAUCGCAAUGCGGUUUUCACCUUAAAUAUAAAGAAACAAUUGCAACGUUAACUAUUAACCCUCGGAGUGACUUGCGGCGGAGCAGCAUCUUUUUAUACGAGCAGAGGAACUGGAACUGGGCGGAACUGAUCUCAGGAACCUGCCACCCUACAGACUGUGCUGGGCCAUAUACUGUGCAAAGGAAAAGGCCAGCGCUGUACCUUUCACCCAAAAUCCAAGCCCAAUAACCCUUAUCCUGCCAGAUUAGACCAGUGCAUACAGGCCGACAUCAGGCUAUAACUAGGAUUAGAAGGCCCAGAAGGGACAUGAGCCUGAAGCUUAUUAAAUGCACAGAAGAGGAAAUUCCACUUGGUGAUACAUGAAGGGAAACCCAGAAGAGAAGGGUUAACACAUUAAUUGCACGUGAAAUACAUUAUGCAACUUCAAUUCUCAUCAAGAUAACGAGCAAACUGCAACGGGCGGAGCGCUGAAUUAUCACUAUUGUUUUUUAAUCUAAAUGACAGUUCCUGUUUGUUUCAUUUCCCAUUUAGAGCUAUUUCUUCAAAUUAUACAAAUACGAUUUCCUACGCAAAUUCUAACGGAAUCCAGAAUAGGAAGAGGUGACUCUACAUACGGAUAUGGCAGUUAUUAUAGGGCUGCUGAUUGGGACACUCAGCAUUCUGGGUACUCCCAGAAUCCUUGCUGUUUUUCCUACUUUGGCCACUGCUACAAGAGAAAUAAGCCACUUUCUACAAUGAAUUCCUUUGCACAUACCCAAUGAAACUAAAAUAGAAAGGUAUUGGGGGUUGUUAUAUGCACUUUGCAAUUGGUCUUCAUUUUUUAUUAUGUAAAAAAUGAUUUAGCUUUGAGUUA
Xenopus tropicalis (tropical clawed frog) is the source of this 892-nucleotide long non-coding RNA. RefSeq lists it as uncharacterized. The record is from RefSeq and is a predicted model, not a curated record. NCBI's taxonomy places the organism in Eukaryota, Metazoa, Chordata, Amphibia, Anura, Pipidae. The transcript has 3 exons.